Molecule: unclassified non-coding RNA, 358 nt
Filed under: soil metagenome
Description: partial contains 5.8S ribosomal RNA, internal transcribed spacer 2, and large subunit ribosomal RNA
Rfam family: 5.8S ribosomal RNA (bases 1-120)
Source: RNAcentral
GAUGAAGAACGUAGCGAAAUGCGAUAAGUAAUGUGAAUUGCAGAAUUCAGUGAAUCAUCGAGUCUUUGAACGCACAUUGCGCCCGUCAGUAUUCUGGCGGGCAUGCCUGUUCGAGCGUCAUUACGCCCCUCAAGUCCCCUGUGGACUUGGUGUUGGGGAUCGGCGAGGCUGGUUUUCCAGCACAGCCGUCCCUUAAAUUAAUUGGCGGUCUCGCCGUGGCCCUCCUCUGCGCAGUAGUAAAACACUCGCAACAGGAGCCCGGCGCGGUCCACUGCCGUAAAACCCCCCAACUUUUUAUAGUUGACCUCGAAUCAGGUAGGACUACCCGCUGAACUUAAGCAUAUCAAUAAGCGGAGGA